GUGCCAGCAGCCGCGGUAACACGUAGGGGACGAGCGUUGUCCGGAUUCAUUGGGCGUAAAGCGCGCGUAGGCGGCCCGGAAAGUCGGUUGUGAAAUCCUGGGGCUCAACCCCAGGACUGCGUCCGAUACUUCCGGGCUGGAGGUAGGUAGGGGAGAUCGGAAUUCCUGGUGUAGCGGUGAAAUGCGCAGAUAUCAGGAGGAACACCGGUGGCGAAGGCGGAUCUCUGGGCCUUACCUGACGCUGAUGCGCGAAAGCUAGGGGAGCGAACAGGAUUAGAUACCCCGGUAGUCC
Molecule: ribosomal RNA, 292 nt
Filed under: uncultured bacterium
Lineage: Bacteria
Description: partial 16S ribosomal RNA
Rfam family: Bacterial small subunit ribosomal RNA
Source: RNAcentral